GACGAACGCUGGCGGCGUGCUUAACACAUGCAAGUCGAGCGGGGACAAGAGCUUCGGUUCUUGUUCUAGCGGCGGACGGGUGAGUAACGCGUGAACAAUCUGUCCCAGACAGGGGGAUAACACUUGGAAACAGGUGCUAAUACCGCAUAAGACCACGACACCACAUGGUGAUGGGGUAAAAGAUUUAUCGGUCUGGGGUGAGUUCGCGUCCGAUUAGCUAGUUGGUGAGGUAACGGCCCACCAAGGCGACGAUCGGUAGCCGACCUGAGAGGGUGAUCGGCCACAUUGGAACUGAGACACGGUCCAAACCCCUACGGGAGGCAGCAGUGGGGAAUAUUGGGCAAUGGGCGCAAGCCUGACCCAGCAACGCCGCGUGAGGGAAGAAGGUUUUCGGAUUGUAAACCUCUGUCCUCAAGGACGAAGGAAGUGACGGUACUUGAGGAGGAAGCCCCGGCUAACUACGUGCCAGCAGCCGCGGUAAUACGUAGGGGGCGAGCGUUGUCCGGAAUGACUGGGCGUAAAGGGCGUGUAGGCGGCCGAUUAAGUCUGGAGUGAAAGUCCUGCUUUCAAGGUGGGAAUUGCUUUGGAGACUGGUUGGCUUGAGUGCGGAAGAGGUAAGUGGAAUUCCCAGUGUAGCGGUGAAAUGCGUAGAGAUUGGGAGGAACACCAGUGGCGAAGGCGACUUACUGGGCCGUAACUGACGCUGAGGCGCGAAAGCGUGGGGAGCGAACAGGAUUAGAUACCCUGGUAGUCCACGCUGUAAACGAUGAAUGCUAGGUGUUGCGGGUAUCGACCCCUGCAGUGCCGGAGUAAACGCAAUAAGCAUUCCGCCUGGGGAGUACGGCCGCAAGGUUGAAACUCAAAGGAAUUGACGGGGGCCCGCACAAGCAGCGGAGCAUGUUGUUUAAUUCGAAGCAACGCGAAGAACCUUACCAUGUCUUGACAUCGAGAUAAACUGCUAGAGAUAGCAGGUGGAUUCGUCCGACCGAAGACAGGUGGUGCAUGGUUGUCGUCAGCUCGUGUCGUGAGAUGUUGGGUUAAGUCCCGCAACGAGCGCAACCCCUAUGGUCAGUUACUAACAGGUAAAGCUGAGGACUCUGACAAGACUGCCGGGGACAACUCGGAGGAAGGUGGGGACGACGUCAAAUCAUCAUGCCCCUUAUGACAUGGGCUACAAACGUGCUACAAUGGUGGUUACAAAGAGGAGCGAGCUCGCGAGGGUAAGCGGAUCUCAAAAAAGCCAUCUCAGUUCGGAUUGUGGGCUGCAACCCGCCCACAUGAAGUUGGAGUUGCUAGUAAUCGCGGAUCAGAAUGCCGCGGUGAAUACGUUCCCGGGCCUUGUACACACCGCCCGUCACACCAUGGGAGUUGGGAGCACCCGAAGCCGGUGAGCCGACCGCAAGGAAGCAGCCGUCGAAGGUGAGACCGAUGACUGGGGUGA
This 1441-nucleotide ribosomal RNA is filed under the name uncultured Bacillota bacterium. Its description in RNAcentral is "bacterial SSU rRNA". It matches the Rfam family "Bacterial small subunit ribosomal RNA". The record is from RNAcentral. Lineage: Bacteria; Bacillati; Bacillota.